AUUGAACGCUGGCGGCAUGCCUUACACAUGCAAGUCGAACGGCAGCACGGGUGCUUGCACCUGGUGGCGAGUGGCGAACGGGUGAGUAAUACAUCGGAACGUACCUUAUCGUGGGGGAUAACGCAGCGAAAGCUGUGCUAAUACCGCAUACGCCCUGAGGGGGAAAGCGGGGGAUCGCAAGACCUCGCGCGAUUAGAGCGGCCGAUGCCUGAUUAGCUAGUUGGUGGGGUAAAAGCCCACCAAGGCGACGAUCAGUAGCUGGUCUGAGAGGACGAUCAGCCACACUGGGACUGGGACACGGCCCAGACUCCUACGGGGGGCAGCAGUGGGGAAUUUUGGACAAUGGGGGCAACCCUGAUCCAGCAAUGCCGCGUGAGUGAAGAAGGCCUUCGGGUUGUAAAGCUCUUUUGUCAGGGAAGAAACACCGGCUCUAACACAGUCCGGGAAUGACGGUACCUGAAGAAUAAGCACCGGCUAACUACGUGCCAGCAGCCGCCGCCG
Molecule: ribosomal RNA, 501 nt
Filed under: uncultured bacterium
Lineage: Bacteria
Description: partial 16S ribosomal RNA
Rfam family: Bacterial small subunit ribosomal RNA
Source: RNAcentral